RNAcentral lists this ribosomal RNA (253 nucleotides) under uncultured bacterium. RNAcentral describes it as "partial 16S ribosomal RNA". It matches the Rfam family "Bacterial small subunit ribosomal RNA", at positions 524 to 776 of the family's 1533-position model. The record is from RNAcentral.
UACGAAGGGGGCUAGCGUUGCUCGGAAUUACUGGGCGUAAAGGGCGCGUAGGCGGAUCGUUAAGUCAGAGGUGAAAUCCCAGGGCUCAACCCUGGAACUGCCUUUGAUACUGGCGAUCUUGAGUAUGAGAGAGGUAUGUGGAACUCCGAGUGUAGAGGUGAAAUGCGUAGAUAUUCGGAAGAACACCAGUGGCGAAGGCGACAUACUGGCUCAUUACUGACGCUGAGGCGCGAAAGCGUGGGGAGCAAACAGG